RNAcentral lists this unclassified non-coding RNA (612 nucleotides) under Hevea brasiliensis (rubber tree). Lineage: Eukaryota; Viridiplantae; Streptophyta; Magnoliopsida; Malpighiales; Euphorbiaceae. The record is from RNAcentral.
CAAAAUUUAUACGCCUGAGAAAUCAGAAUAUACCCCCAUCCCUAAGUUAAAAGGCUCGAGCACAUCCUUUCCUUCGAUCUAGCUCUCUGUACAUAUUCGCGCCUUACCGUCGAAAAUCACUUGGUGCUAUCGCAUUAUCGGUCCUCUUGGACAAGUUCUUUUGAUUCUUCAAAUUCCGGUUUCAAAGUUUGCCUCUAUUUAUGUCGACUUCGAAGGCUGUCCGCUCCUUAAUAACGAGUAGAAAUGGUGCCAAAUACUUGAUCAGGUCGCCGAAAGACUAUAAUUCUAAAUUUGAUCAGAUUCGAUGUUAUAAUAGCAUUGUUGGCAUCUCAACCCCAUCGGUCGUUGAAGUAAUUGAUAGGAAGACCGAUUUUAGUUUGGCAUUGGGAAGCUUUUACAAUAAUGCUACUGCUGCUCAAAAAAGACGAUUUCUUGGCCGCGGAGACGGACAGGAAGGUGGUGUUUUAUCCAAUGUUUAUGAAGAGAGGCGCGUUCUUGGUUAUUUGAUGUGGUUGCUGCUGUCGACUUGUAUGAUGGAUUUGUCCCUUGGUGUCAACGGUCUGAGAUACUCAGAUGCCAUCCCGAUGGAUCAUUUGAUGCUGAGCUGGAGAU